This 765-nucleotide ribosomal RNA is filed under the name uncultured Arthrobacter sp. RNAcentral's name for it is "bacterial SSU rRNA". It matches the Rfam family "Bacterial small subunit ribosomal RNA", at positions 8 to 796 of the family's 1533-position model. The record is from RNAcentral. Lineage: Bacteria; Bacillati; Actinomycetota; Actinomycetes; Micrococcales; Micrococcaceae.
AGAGUUUGAUCCUGGCUCAGGAUGAACGCUAGCGGCAGGCCUAAUACAUGCAAGUCGAACGGUGUAGCAAUACACAGUGGCGCACGGGUGCGUAACGCGUAUGCAACCUACCUGGUAGUGGGGAAUAGCCCGGGGAAACCCGGAUUAAUACCGCAUAAGAUAGUUAGAUGGCAUCAUUUGAUUAUGAAACAUUUAUGGCUACUAGAUGGGCAUGCGUAAGAUUAGCUAGUUGGUGGUGUAAUGGACCACCAAGGCGAUGAUCUUUAGGGGUUCUGAGAGGAAGAUCCCCCACACUGGUACUGAGAUACGGACCAGACUCCUACGGGAGGCAGCAGUAGGGAAUAUUGGGCAAUGCCCGCAAGGGUGACCCAGCCAUGCCGCGUGCAGGAAGAAGGCCUUCUGGGUUGUAAACCUCUUUCAGUAGGGAAGAAGCGAAAGUGACGGUACCUGCAGAAGAAGCGCCGGCUAACUACGUGCCAGCAGCCGCGGUAAUACGUAGGGCGCAAGCGUUAUCCGGAAUUAUUGGGCGUAAAGAGCUCGUAGGCGGUUUGUCGCGUCUGCCGUGAAAGUCCGGGGCUCAACUCCGGAUCUGCGGUGGGUACGGGCAGACUAGAGUGAUGUAGGGGAGACUGGAAUUCCUGGUGUAGCGGUGAAAUGCGCAGAUAUCAGGAGGAACACCGAUGGCGAAGGCAGGUCUCUGGGCAUUAACUGACGCUGAGGAGCGAAAGCAUGGGGAGCGAACAGGAUUAGAUACCCCCGUAGUCC